Molecule: ribosomal RNA, 253 nt
Filed under: uncultured bacterium
Lineage: Bacteria
Description: partial 16S ribosomal RNA
Rfam family: Bacterial small subunit ribosomal RNA
Source: RNAcentral
GACGAACCGUGCGAACGUUGUUCGGAUUCACUGGGCUUAAAGGGCGCGUAGGCGGGUUCUCAAGUCGGUGGUGAAAUCUUUCGGCUCAACCGGAAAAUGGCCUCCGAUACUGGGAACCUCGAGGGAGGUAGGGGCAUGCGGAACUUCGGGUGGAGCGGUGAAAUGCGUAGAUAUCCGAAGGAACGCCGGUGGCGAAAGCGGCGUGCUGGACCUCUUCUGACGCUGAGGCGCGGAAGCCAGGGGAGCAAACGGG